UGCGUAGGCGGGGCAAUUAGUCAGUGGUGAAAUCCUGCGGCUUAACCGUAGAACUGCCAUUGAUACUGUUGCCCUUGAGUAUAGUUGAGGUGGGCGGAAUGUGUAAUGUAGCGGUGAAAUGCAUAGAGAUUACACAGAACACCAAUUGCGAAGGCAGCUCACUAAGCUAUAACUGACGCUGAGGCACGAAAGCGUGGGGAGCGAACAGGAUUAGAUACCCCGGUAGUCC
Molecule: ribosomal RNA, 229 nt
Filed under: uncultured bacterium
Lineage: Bacteria
Description: partial 16S ribosomal RNA
Rfam family: Bacterial small subunit ribosomal RNA
Source: RNAcentral